Molecule: long non-coding RNA, 260 nt
Organism: Ctenocephalides felis (cat flea)
Lineage: Eukaryota; Metazoa; Arthropoda; Insecta; Siphonaptera; Pulicidae
Exons: 3
Source: RefSeq, a predicted model, not a curated record
CAUAAAGUCAUAUUAAUUUAUUAUUACUAUUAUUUAUAAUAUCGUUAAAACAUAACUUGGCAAUUAUACUAAAAUCUCAAUUGUAAUUUGUAUGUAACUCCACACAGACUCCUUCAUGAGGAGUCUCCUUCUAUCUUUUGAUGCCGGUCGUUUAACAUCCAAUUCAGGAAUUGAAGAAUCUUCAUACCUUUACCAGACAUUUCUUCAUAUUUUAAAAAAUCCUUUCGACCACUGCUGCUCUGCACACUGACUCCUUCACC